AACAAGGUUUCCGUAGGUGAACCUGCAGAAGGAUCAUUGU
RNAcentral lists this ribosomal RNA (40 nucleotides) under Begonia chitoensis. Its description in RNAcentral is "partial 18S ribosomal RNA". RNAcentral also lists the same sequence under 3 other names. Lineage: Eukaryota; Viridiplantae; Streptophyta; Magnoliopsida; Cucurbitales; Begoniaceae. The record is from RNAcentral.